UCCCCGUUACCGGGGCAGUCUGAAUAGAAAAAUUCAACUAUCCAUAAGGGUUGCGCUCGUUGAUGGACUUAACCAAACAUCUCACGACACGAGCUGACGACGGCCAUGCAACACCUGUCUUUGGGUUCCCGAAGGCACUCUCGGCUUUCGCCAAAAUUCCCAAGAUGUCAAGCCUUGGUAAGGUUCUUCGCUUACCAUCGAAUUAAACAACACGCUCCACCGCUUGUGCGGGUCCCCGUCAAUUCCUUUGAGUUUUAGUCUUGCGACCGUACUCCCCAGGCGGGAUGCUUAACGCGUUAGCUUCGCUACAUACCGGGUCGAUACGGCAUACAGCUAGCAUCCAUAGUUUACGGCGUGGACUAC
Molecule: unclassified non-coding RNA, 363 nt
Filed under: uncultured bacterium
Lineage: Bacteria
Description: contains 16S-23S intergenic spacer region
Source: RNAcentral